Molecule: ribosomal RNA, 1484 nt
Filed under: uncultured prokaryote
Description: partial 16S ribosomal RNA
Rfam family: Bacterial small subunit ribosomal RNA
Source: RNAcentral
ACAACGGAGAGUUUGAUCCUGGCUCAGGAUGAACGCUGGCGGCGUGCUUAACACAUGCAAGUCGAACGAACCUUCGGGUUAGUGGCGGACGGGUGAGUAACGCGUGAGAAUCUGCCCUCAGGAGGGGGAUAACGGCUGGAAACGGCCGCUAAUACCCCAUAUGCCGCGAGGUGAAAUGAAUUUCGCCUGAGGAUGAGCUCGCGUCUGAUUAGCUAGUUGGUGGGGUAAGAGCCUACCAAGGCAUCGAUCAGUAGCUGGUCUGAGAGGAUGAUCAGCCACACUGGGACUGAGACACGGCCCAGACUCCUACGGGAGGCAGCAGUGGGGAAUUUUCCGCAAUGGGCGAAAGCCUGACGGAGCAACGCCGCGUGAGGGAUGAAGGCCUCUGGGCUGUAAACCUCUUUUAUCAAGGAAGAAGAUCUGACGGUACUUGAUGAAUAAGCCACGGCUAAUUCCGUGCCAGCAGCCGCGGUAAUACGGGAGUGGCAAGCGUUAUCCGGAAUUAUUGGGCGUAAAGCGUCCGCAGGCGGUCUUUUAAGUCUGCUGUUAAAGCGUGGAGCUUAACUCCAUUUCGGCAGUGGAAACUGGAAGACUAGAGUGUGGUAGGGGCAGAGGGAAUUCCCGGUGUAGCGGUGAAAUGCGUAGAUAUCGGGAAGAACACCAGUGGCGAAGGCGCUCUGCUGGGCCAUAACUGACGCUCAUGGACGAAAGCCAGGGGAGCGAAAGGGAUUAGAUACCCCUGUAGUCCUGGCCGUAAACGAUGAACACUAGGUGUCGGGGGAAUCGACCCCCUCGGUGUCGUAGCCAACGCGUUAAGUGUUCCGCCUGGGGAGUACGCACGCAAGUGUGAAACUCAAAGGAAUUGACGGGGGCCCGCACAAGCGGUGGAGUAUGUGGUUUAAUUCGAUGCAACGCGAAGAACCUUACCAGGGUUUGACAUCCUGCGAAUCCCUUGGAAACGAGGGAGUGCCUUCGGGAACGCAGUGACAGGUGGUGCAUGGCUGUCGUCAGCUCGUGUCGUGAGAUGUUGGGUUAAGUCCCGCAACGAGCGCAACCCACGUCGUUAGUUGCCAGCAUUCAGUUGGGCACUCUAGCGAGACCGCCGGUGAUAAACCGGAGGAAGGUGUGGAUGACGUCAAGUCAUCAUGCCCCUUACAUCCUGGGCUACACACGUACUACAAUGCUACGGACAAAGGGCAGCAAACUCGCGAGAGCUAGCAAAUCCCAUAAACCGUGGCUCAGUUCAGAUCGUAGGCUGCAACUCGCCUACGUGAAGGAGGAAUCGCUAGUAAUCGCAGGUCAGCAUACUGCGGUGAAUACGUUCCCGGGCCUUGUACACACCGCCCGUCACACCAUGGAAGUUGGCCACGCCCGAAGCCGUUACUCCAACCCGCAAGGGAGGAGGACGCCGAAGGUGGGGCUGAUGACUGGGGUGAAGUCGUAACAAGGUAGCCGUACCGGAAGGUGCGGCUGGAUCACCUCCU